AGUGAACGCUGGCGGCAGGCCUAACACAUGCAAGUCGAACGGCAGCACAGUAAGAGCUUGCUCUUACGGGUGGCGAGUGGCGGACGGGUGAGGAAUACAUCGGAAUCUACUUUUUCGUGGGGGAUAACGUAGGGAAACUUACGCUAAUACCGCAUACGACCUACGGGUGAAAGCAGGGGAUCUUCGGACCUUGCGCGAUUGAAUGAGCCGAUGUCGGAUUAGCUAGUUGGCGGGGUAAAGGCCCACCAAGGCGACGAUCCGUAGCUGGUCUGAGAGGAUGAUCAGCCACACUGGAACUGAGACACGGUCCAGACUCCUACGGGAGGCAGCAGGGGGGAAUAUUGGACAAUGGGCGCAAGCCUGAUCCAGCCAUACCGCGUGGGUGAAGAAGGCCUUCGGGUUGUAAAGCCCUUUUGUUGGGAAAGAAAAGCAGCAGGUUAAUACCCCGCUGUUCUGACGGUACCCAAAGAAUAAGCACCGGCUAACUUCGUGC
RNAcentral lists this ribosomal RNA (493 nucleotides) under uncultured bacterium. Its description in RNAcentral is "partial 16S ribosomal RNA". It matches the Rfam family "Bacterial small subunit ribosomal RNA", at positions 29 to 508 of the family's 1533-position model. The record is from RNAcentral.